CCGCCCGCUGCCGCCUCCCUUCCCCUCCCACCUCCCGCUGCGCGGAGCCCGGCGGAGCCCGGCGGGGCAGGCAGAGGAGCCGGGCAGCUCCAGGUAGGCAGCAUGGCACGGCUCCGCACGGCUCCGCACGGCACGGCACGGCAUGGCACAGCAUGGCACGGCAUGGCAUGGCACGGCACGGCACAGAUCAGUGCCGGAGGUGCGACGGGUUCUCCUUGCGCUUUGCGGGGCAAACAGCCGGGGGAGGAGAAGGAGGAGAAGGAUGAGGAGGAGGGAUGCUGCAGCUUGGUACUGGGGAGCCCCGGCUCCUCCGAAGUCGCUCCCGGAGCAAUCCCCCCCAAAAGAAGCAGCCUCGGAGGUAUCCACAGUUAUGUGCUAAGUCAAAAUUUUUCUGGAAGUUCCAUCUCUGGAAGCUUCUGUUUCCAGAAAUGA
Molecule: long non-coding RNA, 432 nt
Filed under: Cairina moschata (Muscovy duck)
Lineage: Eukaryota; Metazoa; Chordata; Aves; Anseriformes; Anatidae
Description: domestica (muscovy Duck (domestic type)) lncRNA (ENSCMMG00000002027.1)
Source: RNAcentral